CGCCGGGCGCUCGGCAGCGACACGGCUGGGGCUGGGGCUGGGGCUGGAGGACGGACGGACACGGGCUGGAGGACGGACGGACACGGGCUGGAGGACGGACGGACACGGGCUGGAGGACGGACGGACACGCCGAGCCCCGCGGCACAGCGCCUUCCCCGCCCGUCCCCUCGGCUCUCCUGCCCAGCGGGACAGGUUUGGGUCCCUGCGUGGCCGAGGGCAGCAGGUGACACCAUGAUCAAGUCCAGUUGGUUCUACGUCAAGUUCAAGCAUGCCGAGAAGUUGAUCCAGAAAGCCCUGGAGUCCCUGAGCAGAGCAGAUAAUGUUCCUGCUCUGCUGUCACCGGCUGGUUCUGUGGAGUGUUACAUAACCUGUCAUACCAGUUUUGUCAGAGUCAGAUACUUCUGAGAUCUACAACUUGGGAAAUUUGAACAUGGAUGAAAUCCAGGAAACCCAUUUAAUCUGUCUACUUACAGUUACUUGUUCUUUACAAGACUUUCUUCUGAUCCACUAGAGAAGGUGCCAAGUCUGUUCAUCUGUUGGGGGAAAAAAGCCCCAAACCAUAAUGUACACAUGCAGGAAGGCAAGAACUGAUGUGCAUGCCUGGUCUUUUACUGGAUUUCAUGUGUGAUAAGGGACUGUUAACCCUUUGUGUUGAAGUAGGAGUUUCCUAAUGAGAAAUUUUGGGUUUGGCUACGUGGGAGGGCUGUACCCCCUUGCUGAAUGCAGGAUUUUGUGUCAACGUUCUUGUUGCAGUUAGGGUUUGGCUCAUUCUGCUUUAGCUCCCAGUCUUGUCUGCCUGUGAAAGUUGUGCUAGUGUGGCCUAGGUGUGAAUUGAUGCUGAAUUUAUUAAACUGGUGCAGUUCUCUGGCUGGACACUCUGGGUGCACGCUCCAUGAAACAAGUAUUUCUGCAAUAGUGUAACCACACUGGCUUAAAAAAUUAGGUCAAAUUCUUUUGCAACUCCUCUGUGUUGUCAUGGUCUUAGAAAUUGGGUUUAUGUCAGCUAAGCUGAAGAACCUUUGAAAUUCUCAAACCAGCUUUUUACAGCAGUUUGUCUAAAUGGAUUUAAAAUCUCCCUUGGAGAUGCAGUUUCUCCUCUUCAGCUGGCACAAGUGUGGGCUGCUGCAGGAGCCAGUGCUCCUCUCCCAGCAGUGGUGCCUCUGCAGCCACAUGGGGUGGUGACCCCACCUCCACCUGAGCUGGUUUGAUUCCUUUUUUGUGCUGCCUUUGUUUCCAGGCAGGUCAGUGUGUCCCAGUUCACCAUGAGGGUCUGGCCCUAUGGGGUGUACCUGGAUGAGCAGAAAGGACAGUGAUGUCUCUUCUGGCAACAGCCUGUGAAAACCAAAUUAAUUUAACUUUGCUCUCCUCAUGUGGAAGUGUUAUAUAAUCUCUGUUUAAGGGAGGUCAUUUUAGGUUAGGAGGAGGUUGGGUCUGUGCCCUCCUGUCAGUGCAGUAUCUCAGUUAAUCAGAACUGGAGCUGCUCUUCCUGUGUGUGCUGACAUUGCACAGCUCCCUCUUAAUUCUCUUGUAAAGAAGUUCAUUGACAUUUUUACUGGCUGGCCGGCUUUGCUGAAGUUGCCAUCCUUGCCUCUGGCCAUCACAAAUAUUCUUUUUUUCUUUUGGGUUACUUCAGAAGAUGUUGAUGUCUGAAGGCCCCACUUGGAUAAAGCAGAUAUAUUUAUAUGAAUGUCAGAGGUAACUGCAGGAAGCUUGUAGAUUGUACAGUUUUGCUUCCCAUAUACAUUGUCAACCUGCUUUAUUCUCUUGGCAUCACUGCUUUCCUGCCAUAAACUGCUCCAUUGGUUGUGUUUGAAUGCUGCUCAUCCCGGCUGGGUUAUCUACAGAGAGACCUGAACUGAGGUGUGCUGAUGGAACUGGCCUCAGGGAUUGAACCCUCACAGCCUUCUGGGAUCCUCCAAGCUCUUCACAUCCACCUGGAACCUUGACAUCUCCUAAUCAGUUCAUUCAUGUCAUCUGCCUGCUUGCUCAGUGGCCAGUUUGUACAGGUAGGAACUGGUCGUGCGUUUGUGGCUGCAACACAAAGCCUGAACAAUGGUCACCUAAAGACAUGUUGGAACUGAAAACAGGAGAGAAAGACACUGGUUAAGCUGAUGUCCUUUGGUUGGUUAGUUUGCUCAAGUCAUCCAAACAGUUCUUUUAAGUUGUGACAAGCACAAUAAAACCUUUUCCCAGCAGUACAUUUCUAGUUGUGAUUAAAAUAACCAGAUAAUAAAACUAACUAAAGUAGAAAGCUC
Molecule: non-coding RNA, 2255 nt
Organism: Lonchura striata (white-rumped munia)
Lineage: Eukaryota; Metazoa; Chordata; Aves; Passeriformes; Estrildidae
Source: RefSeq, a predicted model, not a curated record